CGCACGGGUGAGUAACGCGUAUCCAACCUUCCCUAUAGUAGAGAAUAGCCCGGCGAAAGUCGGAUUAAUGCUCUAUGUUGUAUUUAGAAGACAUCUGAAGAAUACCAAAGGUUUACCGCUAUAGGAUGGGGAUGCGUCUGAUUAGGUAGUAGGCGGGGUAACGGCCCACCUAGCCGACGAUCAGUAGGGGUUCUGAGAGGAAGGUCCCCCACAUUGGAACUGAGACACGGUCCAAACUCCUACGGGAGGCAGCAGUGAGGAAUAUUGGUCAAUGGACGGAAGUCUGAACCAGCCAAGUAGCGUGCAGGAUGACGGCCCUAUGGGUUGUAAACUGCUUUUAUAUAGGGAUAAAGUCGGGGACGUGUCCCCGUUUGUAGGUACUAUAUGAAUAAGGACCGGCUAAUUCCGUGCCAGCAGCCGCGGUAAUACGGAAGGUCCAGGCGUUAUCCGGAUUUAUUGGGUUUAAAGGGAGCGCAGGCUGAUGAUUAAGCGUGACGUGAAAUGUAGCCGCUCAACGGCUGAACUGCGUCGCGAACUGGUUAUCUUGAGUGAGUUCGAUGUUGGCGGGAUUCGUGGUGUAGCGGGUGAAAUGCUUAGAUAUCACGAAGAACUCCGAUUGCGAAGGCAGCCAACAAGGCCUUUACUGACGCUAAAGCUCGAAGGUGCGGGUAUCGAACAGGAUUAGAUACCCUGGUAGUCCGCACGGUAAAACGAUGGAUGCCCGCUGUUUGCGAUAUACUGUGAGCGGCCAAGAGAAAUCGUUAAGCAUCCCACCUGGGGAGUACGCCGGCAACGGUGAAACUCAAAGGAAUUGACGGGGGCCCGCACAAGCGGAGGAACAUGUGGUUUAAUUCGAUGAUACGCGAGGAACCUUACCCCGGGCUUGAACUGCCAGCGAACGAUUCAGAGAUGAUGAGGUCUUCGGGACGCUGGUGGAGGUGCUGCAUGGUUGUCGUCAGCUCGUGCCGUGAGGUGUCGGCUUAAGUGCCAUAACGAGCGCAACCCUUUUCUUUAGUUGCC
This 1020-nucleotide ribosomal RNA is filed under the name Xylanibacter ruminicola. RNAcentral's name for it is "bacterial SSU rRNA". It matches the Rfam family "Bacterial small subunit ribosomal RNA", at positions 99 to 1119 of the family's 1533-position model. The record is from RNAcentral. Lineage: Bacteria; Pseudomonadati; Bacteroidota; Bacteroidia; Bacteroidales; Prevotellaceae.